RNAcentral lists this long non-coding RNA (2384 nucleotides) under Oryza sativa (Asian cultivated rice). RNAcentral's name for it is "long non-coding RNA (OSAT_LNC000063)". The record is from RNAcentral. Lineage: Eukaryota; Viridiplantae; Streptophyta; Magnoliopsida; Poales; Poaceae.
UAGGCUAAAACCAUCAAUGGCAUAGGCAAGGAAAGCUCUGUUGAAAAACGUCAGAAAACAUGUGUUCAAUCAGACAAUAAAGCAUGCAACACAAGGCCUCAGAGAACAAGGAAAAUGAAUUCUAAGUAUACAAAUAGUGCUUAGAGCUCAUGAUAAUAGUUCAUAAUUAGCAGUAGCUCGAUAGAAUAUCCUACAGUUAAUGAUACUAGCUAGAAAGAAUAGUUCAUAGUCAAUACAGAUCAUUACAUGUACUGUAUUAUAAUAGUCGAAUGUUGUAUAUGCAUAAACUGAGAUAUAUUACUAUGCAAUCUGUUAUUUUAUUUAUGAUUUUUUAUCACAUCUCUGUAUAUACAGACCUAAUUUUGCAACCGAUUGCACAUGAAGCAUCCAAACAUAUAAUUCAUGCAAAGGAAUUGAAAAGAAAAACAGCGUCAACCAACCUUUGCCUGCCCGCCGAUUCCCCCAGGCUCGCCACCCUGGCCGAUCCGUGACCCAACCACUGCACCGCCUCCACCUUACAUUUUGCUGGAUGCCGAAAUGAGACCCAAAAUAGCAGAUUUUGUUAUGACCAAAAUUUUUGGUGAAAACCAGCAAAAGGCGAAUACUAAAAAAUCCGAGGACAUGCAGUACAAGAGAAGAAUAAUCUUAAACUUUCCAACGCUGCGGUUAACAGAUUCACAGAAGAAAGCAUAUGCCUUGAUCGAAAUAGAGAAACUAAUGAGACAAGCAGGAAAAUCGCUAAGGGACUACCCAGACAUAGAGCUACCAAAUGCUGCCGAGAUAGAGGAACUUGGUAACAGACUUAUAAACGAAGAGCUUAACUAUGACAAAGACCAACUGAAGGAUGAGCACCUCGCCAUAUUAAACAGCCUUAACACAGAUCAGAAAAAAGCCUUCGAUGCGAUAAUGGAAUCUAUCAACGGAGGGCAAGGAAAGCAAAUAUUUGUGGAAGGCUAUGGCGGGACAGGGAAAACAUACCUAUGGAAAGCACUCACGACAAAACUAAGAUCCGAGGGGAAGAUAGUCCUUGCAGUUGCUUCAUGUGGUAUUGCAGCACUUCUACUCCAAGGUGGGAGAACGGCACACUCAAGAUUUCGCAUUCCAAUAAAGAUCACGGAAGAGUCAACAUGCGAAAUAAAGCAAGGAACCCAUUUGGCCGAACUACUAAAAAGGACAUCACUGAUACUAUGGGAUGAGGCUCCGAUGGCAAACAAGCAUUGCUUUGAAGCAUUGGACAAAAGCCUAAGAGAUAUAAUGAGGUUCACUAAUGAAAACAGCAGUGAAAGGCCAUUUGGCGGCAUGACAGUUGUAUUGGGCGGGGACUUUAGACAGAUCCUUCCGGUGAUUCCAAAGGGAAGGAGAGAGAAUAUAGUGAAUGCAUCAAUCAAACGCUCAUACCUCUGGAAUCACUUUGAAAUUAUCAAACUAACAGAAAACAUGCGACUAAGCUGCAUGUCCAAUGAACCGCUAGAGAAGCAAAAGGUCGCUGAAUUCGCUAAGUGGAUUCUACAUAUCGGUGACGGAGCAUCAGCAUCAGAUGAAGGAGAGGAAUGGGUAAAAAUCCCAAGUGAUAUCCUACUACAAAAAGGACAAGACCCAAAAGAAACAAUCGUCAAAAGCAUUUAUCCAAACUUGCUGGACAACUACCGUGAAAGAGAAUUUCUAGAGGAAAGAGCUAUCCUAUGCCCAAGAAACGAAACAGUCCAGGAAAUUAAUGAGUACAUAAUGAACCAAAUACAACGAGAAGAAAUGACAUACCUAAGCUGUGACACCGUUUGCAAAGCGAUGACAAACAACAGUAGCAUGGAGCACAUGUAUCCUACCGAGUUCCUCAACACGUUGAAAUUCCCUGGAAUACCAAACCACGAACUUAAGCUUAAAGUAGGCCUGCCUGUCAUGCUACUUCGUAACAUCAACCAAACUGCAGGCCUAUGCAACGGCACGAGAAUGACAAUCACACAGUUAGGUAAGAAAUACAUCGAAGCACAGAUCAUAACAGGUACACAUGUGGACGACAAGGUAUACAUACAAUCAUCAUGUCACCGAGCGACACCAACUGGCCAUUUGUCCUGAAAAGAAGACAACAUCCUCUAUUAGUUUGCUUCGCAAUGACCAUAAAUAAAAGCCAAGGCCAGUCCCUGAACAAGGUUGGUUUAUAUCUACCUAAACAAGUCUUCUGCCAUGGGGGCCUGUUUGGGGAGCUUUAGAUUCCGAGAAGCAGCUGUUUGGUAGCCAGCUUUUGAGAAUCUGGAAAAGCUCUGAAACCCAGCUUCUGGCUUCUUAGUUCAUUUUUCAGAAUCUAUAACUGCAGAUUCUCAGAAGCUGUGGACUGUUUGAGGCAGCUUCUAGCAGAAGCAGCUUUUGGGAAAAGCUGCAGCUGGGAG